RNAcentral lists this ribosomal RNA (870 nucleotides) under Triticum aestivum (bread wheat). Its description in RNAcentral is "partial small subunit ribosomal RNA". Lineage: Eukaryota; Viridiplantae; Streptophyta; Magnoliopsida; Poales; Poaceae. The record is from RNAcentral.
AUGGAACGGUUCAACGACGAGCAGUACGUGCGGCUGCGGAACCGCAAGCUCGGCAAGUACUACCUCCACGCCGACGACGACGGGGUGGGCGUCUCCAUCAGCCAGCGCCGCAACUCGCUGAACGUGGCGUGGAGGGUGCACAUCUACCACGCCGCCGACGGCCCGUACCUGCUCCUCCACAGCGCCGCCUACGGCCGCUACCUCGCCGCCACGGCCACGCCGGCGACGGCCUUGUACCACGGCUUCCGCGCCGAGCUGCGCGACUACGACCAUCCGGUGGUGCCGGAUAUCAUGUGGCUGGACAUCAGGGCGGGGCUGGGGCGUGGCGUGCUGCUCCAAAACGCUGGCGACCGCUACCUCCGCGCCAACGGCAAGUACCUCAGCUGGAACUCCGGCGUCACCGUCGAGAACAGAGAUAUUGAGAAUGGGAAGGUCAGCUCCAUGAUGCGCUGGAUCGUCGAGCCCAUCGCCCUCACAGAGCGCGCGCCUCGCAUUCCAGACCCGAUUCGGGCCCGCCUCCCUGAAGACCUCUCCGUCGUCGUGUUAGGGCGCCAGCCAGGGGCGUGGCGGGGGAUUCGGUUCGUGCAAACGAGCAACGAGGGGCUCUACAACGAGGCCGGGCAAGGCUGGGCCGGAGACCAUAUCAGGGGGAGGUCCUUGUACUACCUGAGGGACAAGCUGGCUAGACGGGUCAACCAGCAGCCCGACCGCAUCGCCAUGUGCAUCCGAGCGGGCUGCUACGGGAGGCUGACCCCACUCGUCGUCGACCUGCCCCGCAGUGGCUGGGGCGACAUCUACCAGAUCGUCGUCAUCAUCUCCGGGACCCCUGCCUAUGCUGCGCUGCGAUACCCGAAUGUCGGCGGAGCGUAG